GACGAACGCUGGCGGCGUGCCUAAUACGUGCAAGUAGAACGCUGAAGGAGGAGCUUGCUUCUCUGGAUGAGUUGCGAACGGGUGAGUAACGCGUAGGUAACCUGCCUGGUAGCGGGGGAUAACUAUUGGAAACGAUAGCUAAUACCGCAUAAUAGUAGAUGUUGCAUGACAUUUGCUUAAAAGGUGCAAUUGCAUCACUACCAGAUGGUCCUGCGUUGUAUUAGCUAGUUGGUGGGGUAACGGCUCACCAAGGCGACGAUACAUAGCCGACCUGAGAGGGUGAUCGGCCACACUGGGACUGAGACACGGCCCAGACUCCUACGGGAGGCAGCAGUAGGGAAUCUUCGGCAAUGGACGGAAGUCUGACCGAGCAACGCCGCGUGAGUGAAGAAGGUUUUCGGAUCGUAAAGCUCUGUUGUAAGAGAAGAACGAGUGUGAGAGUGGAAAGUUCACACUGUGACGGUAUCUUACCAGAAAGGGACGGCUAACUACGUG
This 495-nucleotide ribosomal RNA is filed under the name uncultured bacterium. RNAcentral describes it as "partial 16S ribosomal RNA". It matches the Rfam family "Bacterial small subunit ribosomal RNA", at positions 28 to 507 of the family's 1533-position model. The record is from RNAcentral.